UACGGAGGGUGCAAGCGUUAUCCGGAUUUACUGGGUUUAAAGGGUGCGUAGGUGGGCAGGUAAGUCAGUGGUGAAAUCUUCAAGCUUAACUUGGAAACUGCCAUUGAUACUAUUUGUCUUGAAUACUGUGGAGGUCAGCGGAAUAUGUCAUGUAGCGGUGAAAUGCUUAGAUAUGACAUAGAACACCAAUUGCGAAGGCAGCUGGCUACACAAAUAUUGACACUGAGGCACGAAAGCGUGGGGAUCAAACAGG
This 253-nucleotide ribosomal RNA is filed under the name uncultured bacterium. RNAcentral's name for it is "partial 16S ribosomal RNA". It matches the Rfam family "Bacterial small subunit ribosomal RNA", at positions 524 to 776 of the family's 1533-position model. The record is from RNAcentral.